CACAAUGUUGCUAGGAUAUUAGGAUGUCAACAGAAUGAAACGCUACCAUCAUGAGUACCAAAAGGAAAGACCAAGAAGGGAACUGAGCUGCAGAUUGUGAGAAGAAACUGAAUUUAAAACAAAUUUCAGAGGAAAGGUAACUUGUAAAACAAGGCCUCAGAAUUACAAGUGGACUCAAAAUCUAAGCACUGGGUCUUCUCUUCCCAGGCAAUUGUACCAUCAAUUGGCAGACUUCCUAAGUGCUAACUCUAUUGUGUUGAUAAAAGGGCUUGAAUCCAUCACAACAAGGCUACCUGAACAGCAUUGCGAGAAUUUAUGAUUCCAAGCCCCAGUGGAAGAACCUGAAAUGGCAGUAUAUUCUCAGUCUUCUCUACAAAUAUGCCCUAGGUUAUAUUUCCAAAAAGAACGUCAUGUCUUAUGUGACUGUUAUGGAUCAGUAUACUAAAAAAGGACCUGUCAAGUACAGAAGUAAAAACUACAAGUCUCAGAAGAUCCCUACUUUCACCUCUUCAAGAAAGUCUCUGUCCUCACAUUCAUAGUCUAUUCUUAAGCACUGCUCUUAGUGGGCAAGGCUCUGAGCACAUUUCAAGAUGGAGUCUGGCAAUCAUGACCUCAUUGACUCCAUAAUAAGAUCCUAAGCUACUUUAGGAAUGAUCUCUCCCAACUCUGUUCAGGCUGAUUGUGAAGUAGAGCCAUAGGAUUAAUAGUUUUACCCAUUGAGUUGUACUAAUGAAGUAUAGAUUACAAACAAGGGGGCUUUUAAUCUGCCUUGACCUUUGCCUGUGCAACAUGGUGAAAUUCGGAGGUAUUAGGGAGGCCCAGGGAAUAAACAUAUCUGCCUGUACA
RNAcentral lists this long non-coding RNA (846 nucleotides) under Vombatus ursinus (common wombat). Its description in RNAcentral is "lncRNA (ENSVURG00010009477.1)". Lineage: Eukaryota; Metazoa; Chordata; Mammalia; Diprotodontia; Vombatidae. The record is from RNAcentral.